UCAGGAUGUGUCAGUCUCACGCACGUUGUGGUAACCUGUACAAAGUGUUUAUCGCCUGAGGAGUGCUCACAACUCUCAUUGUGAUCCAUUCCCACUAACUUCUACACUAUUCCAUUAGCUCUCAUGAGCUCUCUCUCCAGGACUGUUCCUGUGAAGCCUCCCAAUGUCACCCUUCCAAGAGCCAAGCUGUCACGGAAGACCAGGCAGAGCUAUCACCCAGGGAGAAAGCUCUUCUGUGGGCCAGGAGGGUUCCUUCCUCUGUAGGUCCCUGAGGCUGGGAUUUGCACCUCCUGCCCUCCUCUACAGGCCUAACUCUGAGCUGAUGUUUACAGAGUUCCCAGGGCCUCACCUCAUUCUCCAAAGUGAAGUUAACGUUUGGCCCAAGCAGCCACAACACCUGGAAGAACAAAGGAAACAGCUCUGGCCUCGGGGAGGAAUCCUGACUGAGAAACAUUCAGCCAGUAAGAGUGCUAAAGCAUGUGGUGAGAGAGACUAUUGCUUUGAAUUCACUUAGUUUGUUAAGGAUCCACCUGUAGAUGACAAAGAGGAGUGUGUUUGGAUGACCCUUGAACCUGACCUCUACUUGCUCCACCUGAUGUGUGGAGUGGAAUUCCCUUCCACAGAUACCAGCCAGUGCUGUCAUCUUGCAUUGCGUGCUCCUUCGUGCCCAGAGUCUGACACCUCAUGUCAUUGAGAGGAAGUCUCUUCAGAACAAGGAUAAAGCACUGGUGAGAUGACGGCAAAGCUGGCUGUUCUGUACUUUUGUUUCUGAAUAAGUAAGGGACUUCUCCAAUGCUGUAAUUCCGACACCUUUCCUGAGUGGUAACUUCACCCCUGCAAAUUUAAACAGCAGCUGCAAGUCUUUGGGACCCACUCACCCUUUCCUCCACCUUCCCAUCUCCAGAUUACAGGAGACAUGCAGGAAUGGGGAGAACAGGGCAGCAGAGAUUUCCCACCCCUCUGGCUCUGUACAGGAGGUCCAGGGCAUGCAUGGGAGCUGACAUGAAGGCCAUGGAGCCCGCUGACACACCAUAAGUAGAUGCAACUCUCUCAUUGACUUAACCUUUUUGUAUCUGCUUUGUGUAUUUGCUGUGCUCCUAGUAGUUGGAAGUGCCUAGAACAGUGGUCCCCACACUUUCCAGUGUCGCACCCCUACUUACCCUAUCUCUGCCCACCCCACCCCGGGGCCAGGAGUGGGGCCACGGCUACCCGGGGGGGAUGAAAAAGACAGCCAGGAGUAAGGGGGCCAAGGCUGGGGGCAGGGCCAGGUGUGGAGCCAGAGCCAUGGUGGGGGGGGGGAAACAGCUGGGACUGGAGCCUGGUAGCACUCCCUCCCCACCCCUCCUGGGGACUGGCCCAGACCCUGGCAUGCCUCCCCAAACGUUCCUCUGUGCCCCACAGUUUGGGGACCUCUGGCCUAGAAACAUAUAAAUAUGUCAUUUAAAUUAGUAGUCUAGUCUGCACCUCUCUGUAGUGUGGAGACUGAAUUGUACAGAAGUGUAUCUUGAGAUACUUGAGAUAUCAUGGCAAUGUCACAGUAUAAGAAGAUAGAUAGAACAGAAUAUGUAGGCUUUUUAGUCUGUUAGACUGAUGGUUGGAUCACCAUCACUGGUCGUGAUAUGCAGAACCUAAAAGUAGUUCUGAAGAUAUACAACACAUUGUCCUUGGAUUCCUGCAGUCAGGAUUGGAUUCCAGUCAGAAUGGAAUGAGUUAGCAUUCACUUUAAAUCCCAUUGCUUGUAGCAUAGUAUUAACAGUAAAAAAAUUUUAUUGAUAAGUCACUCAAGUUCAGUAUGACUUUAUCAUGCUAUAAAAUAAAAUGAGUCAUAAUAUCCUAGAGAGGAAAAGAAUAGCUAGCUAGUUGGUCCUAUCUCUUCUGCACAGCAUUUUGAGGUUCUUAGCUGUCUGAUUUGUCAUAGUUUUGUGGCUUGUAACAUACUGGCUAAAUUAUUCAUAUUUUACUGAAUAAGUGAUUGUUGUCUCUCUGGGUAUUCUAUAGUGACAAGAUCAAAACUCAUGCCAGACAAGUGGCUGUUGUAUGCAAAUGUUAAUUUAAAACUUUAACUGAGAGGUACCAGUAUUUUCAGGUGCUAGGACAAAUAAAAUAAUUCCCACAUAAAACACUUUGCAGGCACAUAUUAGUGGUUUUUUUCACCUAAUAUAAUUCAGGAGCAUUGAGAUUUUUUUUUAAUUACCCUCCUGAUGUUAGGAACUACAGUGGGUUGAAAGAAUUUCAGUAGAACACUUAUAUCAAAAAAUACAGUUUAAAUCUAAAUGUUUCAUGGGCAUGUCACUUUCAUUUGCUCACAAAGUGGAGUAGUAAAUGACUGGCCCCAUAUGGAAAAGUCCUGCUGUAUUUACUAGUGAGGUCUUUUUUUUGAAUUCCUGACUCCCUUUAUUUCAUCUGGGCAGUUCUAUUAUUGCAUAAUAGAAGGUUUGUGCAUUAAAUUUCCUAGGGCUUAUAAAUCAAAGAGGGAAAACAUCUCACUAGUGUAUCUUUCCAAGAAACAAUAGCAUGAUUCUUUUAAGUACCCACAUUGGAGUGUCUAAAUUGCACCUUCCCUAAACAGCACCACUAAUUCACAUGCACUUGAAGGUGUGUAUGCUCAGUAGAGAUGCUCAUUUCAGAAGAAUUGCACCUUGCUCAUUUCACUUUGCUCAUUCAUGAGAUGCUAAUUUCAGAAGAACUGCACCUUGCCUUCACAAAAUCCCUACCAGAACAGAACUAGAUGAAUGCUGUCAUUGCUAACUAACCUUGAGAAGUGCAAAUUUGUGAAAUUGCACUACACUUCUUAUCUGCAACCUUUUUUCUUCUCCCACAAUCAUUAUAGUUGAGUAAGAUUAUGUAAUUAUAAAAGGAAAUCCAAAGAAACUGAAAAUAAUUAUCUGAUUCUUUUUCUCCUUUUCUAACCCCCACUAAAGCAGAAGAUGGAAAGAAGCCAAUACAUUAUUUUAAAGUUUUUUUAAAAAAUGUGUCCUAUAUGUAUGUAUUAUGUAUUAAUGUAUUAUUAGGUAUUACUGUUUGCAAUGUUAAUGAGCUGGAUUCUGGCACCCUUUGUUACUUGAAUAUACCUCCUUUUCUGGAGUCAUUGGGACUUUUAGUGGAGAAAAGUGCUGCUCAAUAACAGCCAAAGGUUCAGAAUCUGCCUGUCAGUGGCUGAAUACACCAGAUGGGUAUUCCAUGCAGACAUGACUUCCUCCUUGGAGUGCUCAGAUCAUUAGUUUCUGUUCUGAAAACAACUCAUGUCAUGGCUGGUGGAUCUGCCCAUCCGUGGUCUCUCACAGGCACAUAUUCUUCCCAGUGUACGCCCCAAGUAACUGGUUCAAGCGCUGGGGAACUCCAAGGGGGCCGGAAGGAGAGAAGCCAUAUACCCACCCCUUUGCAACCAUUAAGCCUCAGAGAGGGAAAAGAGCUGCUCCACAACUGCUAUUGCAAUCUCAGGGGCUGGCACAGGCGCCACAUCCUAGUGCACUGCCUCUGCAGGGCAAAAGGAGUGAAGGAGCUGUGUAUCAGUGGAUCAUCCCCACAUCUGUCCUUCCACCAUGUUACCAGACCCUCUCCUUGGCAGCAUAGAGGGAGACCCUGCAGAGUCUGACUUGCUCAAAUUCAGCCUGCCCCAGCGCAAUGAGUCUAAUGCACAUAUGGCUUACACCCAUACAGGUCCUGUAUUGCUGCUUCUGGAGACUGAAGCCUUCUGUCCACAGAAGAGAUACAUCUCAGACUGCAGCAGUCCAAGCUUCCUCAAUCUGCUCCCUCUGUGUAUGCUUCAGCCCUGACCUGGAGGUCUGGCUGUGUUUGGCUGCAGUAUGUCACACCCACGAGCAGGGAAUGCCUGCUGGCAGAAUAAGAAAGAGAAGGGGAGAGACUGGAAAAUCUACCAGAGACAUGGGACUGAAAGCAGUACAUCCAUGCAGGGACAGUACCUGGAACAGCAGGCACAUACUAGGAAAAGAGAACAUUAUGGACCAAGUGAGACAGUAUUAGGUUCAUACCGGGAAUGGAAGGCAACUUGGAGGAUCAGUCAGUGUGAUCAAAAGGCUUCAGAAUUUGAGGUCAAACAGACAGAGCAAUGGCAACGACUUAACCGUGGGUAACCUUAGCUGUGCAUUGCCUGGUUUUCAGAAGUUUGAGUUUUGCUCAGCUAAAUGCCCUGCAAGAGGUCAAUAAACCACCAAGCAACUUUAACUCUGCAGUAAUGUAUUUUUUUGCCAUUGAAUUUCCUAAUGUUUUGAACAGGAAUAAGAUACGUUGUUGACAGGCAGUAGUCAUUUAGGCAAUUGUGCAUAUCAUGUCUUGCCAUUUGCAUAUCAAUCCAGCCAGCACAUUCCCACCCCUCCCACACACCCACAAACAGCAGCUGAGCCCCACCAGCCCUGCUUCGACACACAUCCCCAGCCAUGCCCCUGACCUGUUCCCAGCAUUCCCCGCUUCAACCUGCCCCCCCCCCACACACACACACACUACUGUACCCAGGCCAUCCCACAACAAGCAGGGAACAUAUGUCUUUGAAGUCAUCACUUCUGGUAUAGAAACAUUUCUCCUAAUGUUACUUCCCCCAUGCUCCCAUAACCUAACUCAAAUGCAGUCCCUAGAGUGAGGGCAAGUAUGUUACAGUGGAAUGAUACCCCUGGUCAUAUUUCAGAAUAAGUGGAUGGUGGAGUUUGUGGCAGGGCCAGCAACUGAGAUCACAGACAGGAUUUCUGUUUCCAAAUACUGACAAUUUUAUGUCAGUAAAGAUCCUCUGACCGCUGUUCAAUAUAUGCAGUCGUGCAAGUAGGGUGGUACUCGCCAGUACACAGUACCAGCAAGAGAUUUUUAGCGGGUACAGGGUACUGGAAAGACUUGGGGCUAGCACCCCUGCCCCCAGAGCCAGGAUGGGGCUGUGCUCUGCUCCUUAAAGGAGCAGAACUUGGCUAGGGAGGGCAUUCAUUCUUUA
Long non-coding RNA from Chelonia mydas (Green sea turtle), 4936 nucleotides. RefSeq lists it as uncharacterized. The transcript is spliced from 10 exons. The record is from RefSeq and is a predicted model, not a curated record. NCBI's taxonomy places the organism in Eukaryota, Metazoa, Chordata, Testudines, Cheloniidae.